UACAGAGGUCUCAAGCGUUGUUCGGAUUCAUUGGGCGUAAAGGGUGUGUAGGUGGCGCCGUAAGUCGGGUGUGAAAUUUCGGAGCUUAACUCCGAAACUGCAUUCGAUACUGCGGUGCUUGAGGACUGGAGAGGAGACUGGAAUUUACGGUGUAGCGGUGAAAUGCGUAGAUAUCGUAAGGAAGACCAGUGGCGAAGGCGGGUCUCUGGACAGUUCCUGACGCUGAGGCACGAAGGCCAGGGGAGCAAACGGG
This 253-nucleotide ribosomal RNA is filed under the name uncultured bacterium. RNAcentral's name for it is "partial 16S ribosomal RNA". It matches the Rfam family "Bacterial small subunit ribosomal RNA", at positions 524 to 776 of the family's 1533-position model. The record is from RNAcentral.